RNA transcript from Homo sapiens (human), 3615 nucleotides. It is a transcript of the gene named small nuclear ribonucleoprotein D3 polypeptide, with no coding region annotated. The record is from RefSeq and is marked reviewed. The transcript has 3 exons. NCBI's taxonomy places the organism in Eukaryota, Metazoa, Chordata, Mammalia, Primates, Hominidae.
GGGAAGUCCUGGCCCUUGGCCCAACCUCCUGCUGUCCCCGGUCUGAGGGCCCAAGCCCCGCGUCUCCGCCUUGCCGUCCAGCCUGUCCUUGGUGUGGGGUGCUUGGAAGUGUGAGCACCCUCUCUGGCUCUUUGCCGGCCCCAAGGGUCGUUGCGGCGGCCCCCGGGCCCAGUCAUCAGCCCUCUUUUCCGGUGCCGGAACUAUCGUACUGGUGCCCUAGUUUCCCAGCCGGCAGGCGGAGUGAGGAGGAAGCGGAGGCGAGACCGCGCUCAACACUGGGGAAAGGAAGGAGGCGGGCCCUGCGCGCAGCAUUUUGGGAAAGAGUGGAAUUCUGGGUGUUAGGCCCGCCAUUCGCUUGACUCACGCCUUCGCCGUAGCAUCUUUCGCAGCGGACCGAAGAGAAGAAAAGUAGGCCAGAGCCGAACUCUCUUCCUGCCAAGAUGUCUAUUGGUGUGCCGAUUAAAGUACUGCAUGAGGCCGAGGGCCACAUUGUGACAUGUGAGACGAACACCGGUGAGGUAUAUCGGGGGAAGCUCAUUGAAGCAGAGGACAACAUGAACUGCCAGUGGCCGCAAGAGGAAGAGGACGUGGAAUGGGACGUGGAAACAUCUUUCAAAAGCGAAGAUAAUUUUCUAAGUUGAACAGAACUUUGUCCUUUUUUCUUUCAGGUUAUCUGAGUUCAUUGGAGUGGGUGCUUGUGCAUAUAUGCUAGGUAUCUUUUGCCAUCUUUCUCUUUAGAUCAGGGGAAAUGUUUAAGCUAAAUAAAUCUGGGGGGUUUUUUGUUCUGUUUUGUUUUGUUUUCUUUGAGAAAAUAAGGACUUUGUGUUCAUUUGAAGUUUGCUUUGGCUAAAUUUUGACACCCUGGGGGAUGUCCUGGGAGAAUGCCAGUACUUUGAAAUAGCACAGCUAUUGAUGAGAUUUUAAGCUGCUGUUCCUGGCCAGUUGCAGGUUAAGCCCCAGAAAAGUUCACCUUGGAGAAGCUCCGAGAACACACAGAUUGUGUCUCAUUCAUCUUCAGACACAGGCACAUAGUGUGGCACUUUGUUCAGUUAACAUUUGUGGAGCUGUCAUCAGCUCAGCUUUAACAACACAGGUGACUCUUUCCCUUGAUAAAGUCAUAGGUAAUUCAGGGGCUGGGUGCGGCGGCUCACGCAUGUAAUCCCAGCACUUUGGGAGGCCAAGGCGGGCGGAUCACGAGGUCAGGAGUUCGAGACCAGCCUGGCCAAUAUGGUGAAACCUCGUGUGUACUAAAAAUAAAAAAAUUAGCCGGGUGCGGUGGCAUGUACCUGUAGUCCCAGCUACUCGGGAGGCUGAGGCAGAAGAUUCGCUUGAACCCAGGAGGUGGACAUUGCAGUGAGCAGAGAUCAUGCCACUGUACUCCAGCUUGGGUGACAGAGCGAGACUGCACCUCAAAAAAAAAAAAGUAAUUCAGGGGAUCCUAGUGGCCAGCUUCCUUGGCUCGUAUACUGGCUACAACAAGUAGUUUUGUGGUGAUUUGUGGAAACAGAUUCUUGGGAGCAUAUCAGAGCAUCUCAGCAUUGAUUGGCACAUCCAUAGUUGUUAAUGUAGGAAGGGUGACCAGCAGCUCAGCACAGUGGCUUGCUUCCAGCACUCUGGGAGGCUGAGGUAGAGGAUUGUUUGAGAGGAGUUCAAAACCAGCCCGCGAGACAUAGUGAGACCCUGUCUCUACAAAAAAUUCUAAAAAUUAACUUGGCAUGGUGGUGCACACCUGUAGUCCUCGCUACUAGGGAGGCUGAGGUGGGAGGAUCACUUGAGCCUGGGAGUAUGAGGCUGCAGUGAGCUAUGACCUUGCCACUGUACUCCAGCCUGGGCAAAAGAGCAAGACUUUGUCUUUAAAGAAAAAUAAGUAGUAGUAAAGAGUAUAAGAUACACAGGGUGAAUAAUUGUGACAAAAACACAGAAACUGGAAAAGCAGCCUGAAAAAAUCAAAUCACCAAAAAGAGGUCUUGCCAGGUAUUCAUUAUGGUAUGAGCUACAGCAUAAGCCAUCAAGAGGAAAACUGAUCAAUUAUUGGCUUUUAGAAUAUUGCUCAUUGAACAGAUUAUUCAAGUAAUGAAAGAGGAGGGGAAAAAAAUCCAGCACAUUAGUUAACCUGGCAUCAAUUAAUGAGGUUCUAAUAAGCUUUGUCUUAUGAUACUACCUGGAGGUUACAGAGCUGGUAUUCUGAGGAAUAAGCAUCAGUGAGUUGGUCAGAUACAAUAGACGUUUAAAAUAGGGCUUCAGGCCAAACAUGGUGCCCCACGCCUAUAAUGCCAGCACUUUGGGAGGUCGAGGCGGGAGGAUCACUUGAACCUAGGAGUUUGAGACUAGCCUGGGCUGUUAAGCUUUGUUAACCAAGACCGCAUCUCUACAAAAAAUUGAAAAGUAGCUGGGCACAGCUGAUGCCUGCAGUCCCAGCUAUCCUGGAGGUUGAGGCAGGACGACCACAUGAGCCCAGGAGAUUAAGGCUGCAGUGAGCUAUAAUUGCACCACUGCACUCCAGCCUGGAUGACAGUGAGACCCUGUCUCUUAAAUAAAAAACAAAUGAAAGCAGUGGUUUUCAACAUCAACUAAGGAUCUUAUUAGAAAUGAAGACUGCAAGCCGCACACCUGGAGUGGGGCCCAGGAAUCUGCAUUUUAAACAAUUCCCUGGUCCCCAGAUAAGUAAUUCUUAAGUAUUCUAUCUUAAGUAGACCUAAAGCCGUAUUUUGACCCUGUACUAGUAUGUUAUUUUAGUAUAAUCAUUACUGAAUUCAUCAUACUUUUACAGUAAACAGUACUUACUUUGAAUAAUAACACAUUACACUUAAUAGUAGUGAACUGCAUCCUCGAUAUCAAAAGCGACUUUUGAUGUAGUUCACUCUGGACCCGUACAGGAACACCAGCCUUGCAGAUUCUCCACGCAAUGGAAACUGGCUAUAACCCUACCUAGAUCUGAAAAGUGAAGGGGGAUCAACCUAAAAUAUGUAGCUUUGUAAACAGUUUUAUAUCCUGCAUCUUAGGGGGGAAAAUCAGUUGACGCAGAUUGAAAACAAGUUGUUCCAUAAGGUUUAUUAUGAAAAACAGUAGCCCUCCUACCCUGCCUUUACCCCACUUUCCUUGCCUCACAGUAGUCUGUCCAACUCUUGGCUGAUUUGUUUGUAUUUACCUCCAUGUCUCAAUAUGAACAUGUUUUCAUGACUAUUCCUUGAUGGUUUUUUGUUUGCUUGUUUUAAGACGGUCUCACUCUUCCCCAGGCGGGAGUGCAAUGGCACAAUCAUGGCUCACUGCAGCCUCAACCUUCUCGGGCUCAGGUGAUUCUCCCACCUCAGCCUCCUGAGUAGCUAGAAAUACUGGUGCACACCACCAUGCCUAGCUAAUUUUUGUAUUUUUUGUAGAGACAGGGUUUUGCCAUGUUGCCCAAGCUGGUCUUGAACUCCGGGGCUCAAGUGAUCUGCCCGCCUCGGCCUGCUGGGAUUAUAGGUGUGAGCCACUGCACCCGGCCACCAUUAUCUUUUGAAUCCUCUCUUCCUCCUGCCCACCAUGAAUUUACUUCCUCUCACCCAUCUCCCUGAUAUUGUAAUUCUGGUUAGAUCAUAUUCAGUGUCAAAUUAUUAAGAUGUGAUUAAACUUUUU